This is a long non-coding RNA of Homo sapiens (human), 368 nucleotides long. RefSeq lists it as uncharacterized. The transcript is spliced from 3 exons. NCBI's taxonomy places the organism in Eukaryota, Metazoa, Chordata, Mammalia, Primates, Hominidae. The record is from RefSeq and is a predicted model, not a curated record.
AGUAUGAUGUCAUCAUUAAGAGACUAGGAUCUGGGCCAGGCAUGGUGGCUCACCCCUGUAAUCCCAGCAUUUUGGGAGGCCGACGUGGGAGGAUCACGAGGUCAGGAGUUCGAGACUAGCUUGGCCAACACGGAUUUGUCAUCUAUAACAAGUUUCUGGGUGAUGUCAAUGCUGCUGCGCUGAGGACCCCACUUGAAGACCCGCUGGAUAAGGCCACUCACAGUGGAUGCUCUCUGACAACACAGUCAGCAGCUCCAGGACAGAGUGUUCCAAGUCCACCUGAGCCUGGGCCACGCCAGUUCCUGGGCCUGCUUAGGUUGAAGGGAUUUUUUUUUUUGUGGUUUGAAUAAACUAAUUUUUGGCUAAAA